This 301-nucleotide long non-coding RNA is filed under the name Solanum tuberosum (potato). RNAcentral describes it as "long non-coding RNA (STUB_LNC006852)". The record is from RNAcentral. Lineage: Eukaryota; Viridiplantae; Streptophyta; Magnoliopsida; Solanales; Solanaceae.
CAACAACUUCCUUGCCAAGCGCUACUCCUCCACCUCAUCAUCCCAAUCGUGGCGAUGCACGCUCCAUGGCAAAGAUGUAAUUAUCUUCCAACGAAGAAUCCAGAAAUCUAUGGAGAAAGCUGAAUUGAGAGCGAAAUUAUCAGUAAUUUGUAGAAGUCAUUACAAAAGUAUAAUUAAACUCCUCGGUGCAUCAAUUUCUGGCGAUCACAUUUACUUAGUGUACGAUUUUGUCAUUGGUUCUAACCUUUCUCUCUGCCUCCGGAACCCUAGAAAUCCAAGCUAUACGGUUCUCUCCACUUGG